Helianthus annuus (common sunflower) is the source of this 974-nucleotide long non-coding RNA. RefSeq lists it as uncharacterized. The transcript has 3 exons. Lineage: Eukaryota; Viridiplantae; Streptophyta; Magnoliopsida; Asterales; Asteraceae. The record is from RefSeq and is a predicted model, not a curated record.
UCUCACUUUUCUCUCUCUCCAUCUCUUUAAAGUUUGCAGACCCUCACAUCUGUUGAAAUUCAAACCCAUCUCUCAUCAUCUCUUCAUCUUCAACCCUUCCUCCCUGCUCGAUGAUGACCAGCCGGCCACCACUAUGGGUGGCGGCGCUGGACGGUGACGAGGCGGCGGAGCACCAGCUGCCGGCGACGAAGAUAGCCGACAAAGCACGCCCCUCAUCCCCCUCGUCUCUCUUUGUUCACCUUUGUUCUGGUGGUGGCUCCGGCCGGCUGCUAGCGGCGAUUUCUCCAGCAAAGACACAAGUUUCAGUCAGGUAAUCACCCUCACUCCGGCCGGCUGCUAGCGGCGAUUUCUCCAGCGAAGACACAAGUUUCAAUCCGAUGAGCACAGAACGACCACAAGAGCCGCUUGAUUUCUUCAUUUUGGAUGGUUGAGUUUUGUUCAGAAUUAUAGUCGGAUUGAUGGACCAAGAUGUGAUUGUUUGUUCGUUUUGUUCGAAGGCUACCGAUGAUGAUGAUCUAGGUUUCAGGUUUCCUACUCCGACGUCAUUUCAGAAAAAUGGUAAUCUCAUCGGAAACUAAAUUUGUUUAGAUGUAAAAUUAUGUAAGAAUUAACUUUUUUUUUAAAUGUAAAAAAAUAAGUGUUUACAUGUUAAAUUGGAUCGAUUUUUUAAGGUGUGAUGUAAAAAGUAAAUGUUUUACAUGUUAAAUUUUAUCAGUUUUGUAAAAACUACAUGUUUUGCAUUUGAUUUAGACUAGAUUCGAAUGUUAGUUGGAUAACUUAGUGUUGAUUUAGACUAGAUUCGAAUGUUAGUUGGAUAACUUAGUGUUGUUUAGAGAGGCAAGAGGUGAAAUUUUUUUAGUAGACGAAAACACUGCGUUUUAGCGAUUUUUAUUACAAGAACCUGGAAUUUGGUUAAUGUUUAACAUCUAAAAUACUCUUCUCUGGAAUUUGAUUAGAAAUUUGUUAUGUUUUGA